AUAGCGUAUAUUAAAGUUGUUGCAGUUAAAAAGCUCGUAGUUGAAUUUUAGGCCCGGUUGGAUGGUCUGCUCUAGGGUUUGUACUGUCCUGACUGGGUCUUCCCUUCUGGUGAGCUGUCGUGCUGUUUAUUCAGUGCGGCAGGGAACCAGGACUUUUACUUUGAAAAAAUUAGAGUGUUUAAAGCAGGCAUUCGCUUGAAUACAUUAGCAUGGAAUAAUAGAAUAGGACUUUGGUUCUAUUUUGUUGGUUUCUAGGACCGAAGUAAUGAUUAAUAGGGAUAGUUGGGGGCAUUAGUAUUUAAUUGUCAGAGGUGAAAUUCUUGGAUUUAUGAAAGACUAACUUCUG
RNAcentral lists this ribosomal RNA (346 nucleotides) under uncultured eukaryote. RNAcentral's name for it is "SSU rRNA". It matches the Rfam family "Eukaryotic small subunit ribosomal RNA", at positions 594 to 945 of the family's 1831-position model. The record is from RNAcentral.